Mastomys coucha (southern multimammate mouse) is the source of this 273-nucleotide long non-coding RNA. RefSeq lists it as uncharacterized. The transcript is spliced from 2 exons. NCBI's taxonomy places the organism in Eukaryota, Metazoa, Chordata, Mammalia, Rodentia, Muridae. The record is from RefSeq and is a predicted model, not a curated record.
GGUCAGUCAGGGAGGGCUUCAUGAAGGAGAAGACGGUGAUUGAGUGUGGGAGGAGAUGGCUUCAGGCAGUGGUGUGUGUGAGGAGGACGAAGACCUUGUCUGGAGACUCUCAAAGCUUCUUAAAGACAGAUACCUCAGGGAAGAAAAAGAAAGAAAGAAAAAAAAACCGGAAAACAAGAAAGAGGGAAUCGGGCGGGGAAAAUGAUUUUCUCGGCUGGCGUUUCCAGGGGAAUUAAAUCCUCUUGCUCGUCACCAGCGAGUGGAAUAAUCCAA